Molecule: ribosomal RNA, 1343 nt
Filed under: uncultured bacterium
Lineage: Bacteria
Description: 16S ribosomal RNA
Rfam family: Bacterial small subunit ribosomal RNA
Source: RNAcentral
GACGAACGCUGGCGGCGUGCUUAACACAUGCAAGUCGAACGGAAAGGCCCUGCUUUUGUGGGGUGCUCGAGUGGCGAACGGGUGAGUAACACGUGAGUAACCUGCCCUUGACUUUGGGAUAACUUCAGGAAACUGGGGCUAAUACCGGAUAGGAGCUCCUGCUGCAUGGUGGGGGUUGGAAAGUUUCGGCGGUUGGGGAUGGACUCGCGGCUUAUCAGCUUGUUGGUGGGGUAGUGGCUUACCAAGGCUUUGACGGGUAGCCGGCCUGAGAGGGUGACCGGCCACAUUGGGACUGAGAUACGGCCCAGACUCCUACGGGAGGCAGCAGUGGGGAAUAUUGCACAAUGGGCGGAAGCCUGAUGCAGCAACGCCGCGUGCGGGAUGACGGCCUUCGGGUUGUAAACCGCUUUCGCCUGUGACGAAGCGUGAGUGACGGUAAUGGGUAAAGAAGCACCGGCUAACUACGUGCCAGCAGCCGCGGUGAUACGUAGGGUGCGAGCGUUGUCCGGAUUUAUUGGGCGUAAAGGGCUCGUAGGUGGUUGAUCGCGUCGGAAGUGUAAUCUUGGGGCUUAACCCUGAGCGUGCUUUCGAUACGGGUUGACUUGAGGAAGGUAGGGGAGAAUGGAAUUCCUGGUGGAGCGGUGGAAUGCGCAGAUAUCAGGAGGAACACCAGUGGCGAAGGCGGUUCUCUGGGCCUUUCCUGACGCUGAGGAGCGAAAGCGUGGGGAGCGAACAGGCUUAGAUACCCUGGUAGUCCACGCUGUAAACGGUGGGUACUAGGUGUGGGGUCCAUUCCACGGGUUCCGUGCCGUAGCUAACGCUUUAAGUACCCCGCCUGGGGAGUACGGCCGCAAGGCUAAAACUCAAAGGAAUUGACGGGGCCCCGCACAAGCGGCGGAGCAUGCGGAUUAAUUCGAUGCAACGCGUAGAACCUUACCUGGGUUUGACAUGGAUCGGGAGUGCUCAGAGAUGGGUGUGCCUCUUUUGGGGUCGGUUCACAGGUGGUGCAUGGCUGUCGUCAGCUCGUGUCGUGAGAUGUUGGGUUAAGUCCCGCAACGAGCGCAACCCUUGUUCACUGUUGCCAGCACGUUAUGGUGGGGACUCAGUGGAGACCGCCGGGGUCAACUCGGAGGAAGGUGGGGAUGACGUCAAGUCAUCAUGCCCCUUAUGUCCAGGGCUUCACGCAUGCUACAAUGGCUGGUACAGAGAGUGGCGAGCCUGUGAGGGUGAGCGAAUCUCGGAAAGCCGGUCUCAGUUCGGAUCGGGGUCUGCAACUCGACCUCAUGAAGUCGGAGUCGCUAGUAAUCGCAGAUCAGCAACGCUGCGGUGAAUAAGUUCCCGGG